Molecule: ribosomal RNA, 539 nt
Filed under: uncultured Spiroplasma sp.
Lineage: Bacteria; Bacillati; Mycoplasmatota; Mollicutes; Entomoplasmatales; Spiroplasmataceae
Description: bacterial SSU rRNA
Rfam family: Bacterial small subunit ribosomal RNA
Source: RNAcentral
UGCAAGUCGAACGGAGUAGCAAUACUUAGUGGGCGAACGGGUGAGUAACACGUAUCUAAUCUACCAUUUAGUGGGGAAUAACUGUUGGAAACGACAGCUAAUACCGCAUAAUAUUGCUGGAUAAUUUCCAGUAAUGAAAGGAGCUUUCAAGCUCCGCUGAUUGAUGAGGAUGCGGCGCAUUAGCUAGUUGGUAGGGUAAUGGCCUACCAAGGCAAUGAUGCGUAGCCGAUCUGAGAGGAUGAACGGCCACAUUGGGACUGAGACACGGCCCAAACUUCUACGGAAGGCAGCAGUAGGGAAUUUUUCACAAUGGGCGAAAGCCUGAUGGAGCAAUGCCGCGUGACUGAUGAAGGUCUUCGGAUUGUAAAGGUCUGUUGUAAGGGAAGAAAUGGUAAAACAGGAAAUGGUUUUAUCUAUGACGGUACCUUACCAGAAAGCCACGGCUAACUAUGUGCCAGCAGCCGCGGUAAUACAUAGGUGGCAAGCGUUAUCCGGAUUUAUUGGGCGUAAAGGGUGCGUAGACGGUUUUGCAAGUCUGA